ACGGCUCAGUAACACGUUGCUAACCUACCCUUAGGACGGGGACAACCCCGAGAAAUUGGGGCUAAUCCCCGAUAGGUGUGAUGUCCUGGAAUGGUAUCACGCCUAAAGGUCCCAACAGCAUGUUGUUGUUACGCCUAAGGAUGGGGCUGCGGCCGAUCAGGCAGUUGGUGAGGUAAUGGCUCACCAAACCUUUGACCGGUACGGGCCAUGAGAGUGGUAGCCCGGAGAUGGAUACUGAGACAAGGAUCCAGGCCCUACGGGGCGCAGCAGGCGCGAAACCUCCUCAAUGCACUGAAGUGUGAAGGGGUUACCUCGAGUGCCAUCUGAAGAAGGUGGCUUUUCCUUGGUCUAAAUAGCCUUGGGAAUAAGAGGGGGGCAAGACUGGUGUCAGCCGCCGCGGUAACACCAGCCCCUCGAGUGGUGGGGAUGAUUAUUUGGCCUAAAGCGUCCGUAGCCGGCCGAGUAAGUUUCCCGUUAAAUCCAGCGUCUCAAGCGUCGGACUGCGGGAAAUACUGCCCGGCUAGAGAGUGGGAGAGGUAAGCGGUAUUCUGGGGGUAGGGGCGAAAUCCUUUGAUCCCCGGAGGACCACCAGUGGCGAAGGCUGCUUACUAGAACACGUCUGACGGUCAGGGACGAAAGCUGGGGUAGCGAACCGGAUUAGAUACCCGGGUAGUCCCAGCUGUAAACGAUGCACGCUAGGUGUUGGGUCGGCCACGCGCCGCCCCAGUGCCGCAGGGAAGCCGUUAAGCGUGCCGCCUGGGGAGUACGGCCGCAAGGCUGAAACUUAAAGGAAUUGGCGGGGGAGCA
Molecule: ribosomal RNA, 807 nt
Filed under: uncultured crenarchaeote
Lineage: Archaea; Thermoproteati; Thermoproteota
Description: bacterial SSU rRNA
Rfam family: Archaeal small subunit ribosomal RNA
Source: RNAcentral